Long non-coding RNA from Zea mays, 642 nucleotides. RefSeq lists it as uncharacterized. The record is from RefSeq and is a predicted model, not a curated record. The transcript is spliced from 2 exons. NCBI's taxonomy places the organism in Eukaryota, Viridiplantae, Streptophyta, Magnoliopsida, Poales, Poaceae.
AUGUCGCGCGUUGUUCGCUGCCCUGUAGCAUGGGCCCCGCGUGACAGUUCCUUCUUCCUAGUCGUGUUCUCCCACGACUCUGCUCUAUAGGGAUUCCAUUUAGGCCAUGGCCAAGCUGACCCCACACCGCCGGACUCUCCGCCUCUGCUUGCGCACGUGAAGAAAGAACGCCACCGCGUCGUCCUCCUCUGGGCGACACGGGCGGCUCCUCCAUCGAUCCCACUCAACUCCACCCGCCGCACAGGUCUUCACUUCGCCGUCGCCGGAGCAGCUCGCCGAAAGUCCGGCGAGCAGCGAGGAGGACAGCGGCGGGACCGUUUUUUCCCUCAUUUCCCUCCCCUUCCCGUCUCCUGCUCCCUUCUUCCAUCCCCUCCACUCCUCCCUCCUGGCCUGUAAGCCGUUGGGAAGGCUGGAUCGGUGUGCUGGGUGGCUAGAUCCGCUGUGCUGGGUGGCUAGAUCCGCUCUUCGCCCGGCGUGGCUGGCCCGCGGCGGCUGCGCCCGCACACUCGCGUCGGCGGCGGUCGGAUCUGGUGGCCUCUCGGCUGGAGCACGGCGCACCAGACUGGCUUCUGAAAAAAUAUCCCAAACAGCGCAAUUAAAUUUUUAGUAUUAUAAUCCAUUGAACUUCGGUUUUUUUUUUGC